This 433-nucleotide ribosomal RNA is filed under the name uncultured bacterium. RNAcentral describes it as "partial 16S ribosomal RNA". It matches the Rfam family "Bacterial small subunit ribosomal RNA", at positions 29 to 507 of the family's 1533-position model. The record is from RNAcentral.
AACGAACGCUGGCGGCAUGCCUAACACAUGCAAGUCGAACGAGACCUUCGGGUCUAGUGGCUCACGGGUGCGUAACGCGUGGGAACCUGCCCUUAGGUUCGGAAUAACUCCCCGAAAGGGGUGCUAAUACCGGAUAAUGUCUUCGGACCAAAGCUUUAUCGCCUUUGGAUGGGCCCGCGUUGGAUUAGCUAGUUGGUAGGGUAAAAGCCUACCAAGGCGACGAUCCAUAGCUGGUCUGAGAGGAUGAUCAGCCACACUGGGACUGAGACACGGCCCAGACUCCUGCGGGAGGCAGCAGUGGGGAAUAUUGGACGAUGGGCGAAAGCCUGAUCCAGCAAUGCCGCGUGAGUGAUGAAGGCCUUAGGGUUGUAAAGCUCUUUUACCCGGGAUGAUAAUGACAGUACCGGGAGAAUAAGCCCCGGCUAACUCCGUG